Molecule: non-coding RNA, 3263 nt
Organism: Meleagris gallopavo (turkey)
Lineage: Eukaryota; Metazoa; Chordata; Aves; Galliformes; Phasianidae
Source: RefSeq, a predicted model, not a curated record
UCCAAACUAUUAUUUUAUUGAUUUAGCUUUCUAUCAUUGUUUGCCAGUAUUGUCAGGUUUCUUUAGUCUAAGGGAAUUUAAUCAAUUAUGCUCUUUGGUUCAUUCAAAGAAUGAAGAAAAAAAAUAUGGAAAAAAAAUCAAACCACUUAGGAUGGCUUCUAGUCUAGUUUUAGAAUUAAUUCUAAUUAGAUGAUCCAAAGUUUGCUACUAGAUGAUUCUGUAUAAUGAGUAACACUGUGCUGUUCUCAUCUUUCAGAUAAGAAUUCACCAUUCUCCAUGGUGUUGGCAACUAAAGAUCUUGGGUCCAGAAAGGAAGCUGCUGUCCAGUUUUACAAAAGGGAAACUUUUAUUCAUAGUAAAUUCUUUUUCUGAGAAACAUAGACCUGCUAUUUUUAAUUUGAGAUCUGUAUUUCUUAUAAUAACUUUAGUUUCAGAUGGUAACUAUUAUUUCCUUUUUAAGUAAAAGAAGUGUACUGAUUUAUCUUUAUUUUUGCGUACCAAAAUAUUUUUUGUAUUUUUUGAUAUUUAUGCCUGAUAUAUAUCUUGUACAGUAGAUCUAACAAAAAACAAAGCUGUAUUUGAAUCAAACUCAGAAAUAAAAUUUUUGAAUCACAAAAUCACAAAAUCAAAGAAUGUCUUGGGUUGGAAGAGACAUCAAAGAUCAUCUAGUUUCAGUCCACAUGCCACAGACUGUGUUGCCAACCACUAGAUCAGGCAACACAGAGCUGCAUGUAACCUAGCCUUGAAUGCCUUCAGGGAUGGCUCAUCCACAGCUUUCCUGGUCAACAUGCCUUACCACUCACUGAGCAAAAAUUUCUUCCUAACACCUAACUUAAUUUUUUCCUCUUACACAUUAGAGCCAUUCCCCCUUGUCUUAUCACAAUCAAACCAUGUAAAAAGUCGUGCCUGUAAGCUCCCUAUAAGUACUGGAAGGUCACAAUGAGGUCUCCUCGGAUUCUUUUCUUCUCCAAGCUAUUGGUUAUAUUCAUCCUCUAGAAUGAAUCUGAGUUUUUCCCUUGCUGCUUCCUAAAGUGACAGCACUCCCUGGCUCUUCUCUUUCACUCAGCAGUACAUCUCUUCCCUCAUCAAAUCUAGUUUACAGCUCUGGUGAUAAGCCCAACCAGCUUGCUACCUGAUAUGUUUUUGCCCUCCUGGUCAGUUGCAUCCCAACAUGCCUUGACAACUGAAGAUACAUCCUAGAUUAUUGAAUCCAAAUCCCUGAGCUUGACACCAUCCAUGCAGAUACUCAUUUAAUUGCUUUUUUCUCCUUUUGCCUGCUUCCCAGUCUCCAUCUGGGAGGACUGAGGAGAGCACUACCUGUGCUCCUGAUCUCUUCAAAUUCUUCCCAAGGGAUGUAAAGUCUCUUAAUAUUUUCUAAUUUCCUUGUUGCAGCCUCUGAUGAUCCACAUUGAAAGAUCAGGAAUGGACAGUAUUCUUCCAGCUUUAUCAUAUUUGUAGUCUCUCCCUGAUGUCCUGAGCAUGAGCCCCUGACAGGCAGCAAAUUUCUUGAGAGGGAUUAUUCAGGCAGCUAAUGGGUGCUUCACUGCUCCUCAGUGUGGAGCCCCCAUUUACUAAGAAUCUUCCCCUUCUUUUGCUGGCACUGUUUCUGACAGUUUGAAGCUUUCCUGUUGUAUCACAACAGAGAUUUGCCACAUUGCAUAUCUGCAACAUGAUUCUGUAACGUUUCAUCUAACCAGUCAAACUCAUUUGACUGCUUAAGAACAAUUUUUUGAUUACUCAGUUUUUCAUUUAUAAAAAGGAUAUAAGACAUUUUUACAUGUCCCUAAGGAAGAUGUUGGGGGUCAACCAGUCCCUUUUUUUUUUUUAACCAAAUAAUUUGACUUCUGUUUGUCUAGUCUCAAUCAAAAUCUGAUGAAAGGCUGUAUGUAUGUAUGUUUUUAAUUUAAAGGAAAAAUGUGUAGAAUGCGUGAUUCAAAGAACUCCCCCCUCCCCCCCCCAAAAAAAAAUUGCCAAAUAAUUACUUAAAGAGGAGAAUGGGAGUGAGAGUUUUAGCACUUCAUUGAAACAAAGAGUUAUUUAUUAUUCCAUUGAUUUCUAAAUGAUAACAAAUACUACAACAAAGAGAGAUUUACAGAUCUACUAUCUAUGCAAGGGAAAGAAUCAUUAUCCUAAUAAGAGGUUGACGAGAUUGCUUCCUACCUAAGGAGAAAGUAAAAUAAAUUUGGGGAAAUAAAUAUUAAACUAGUCUAGAUUUUUAUUUUUUAAGACUUCAAAGAAAAGAUAUAUAAAACAACAUAGUCCACUAAAGGAGAGAAAAUAAACUGAGACUGAAUCCUGCAUACUUUGUUGAGUGGGAGCAAAUCUGAUGAAUGACUGAAAGACAGAUAUUCUGAUGCAACUUUAAGAUGUAGAUUUUUUAAUUCCAUCUUUUAUAAAGAUUUAUCACUGACUUGACCAUUUUGAAUGCUAAAUGUUGAUAUUUUUGUGUUUACUAGAAGAUGGCAUAAAAUAUGUGCAGUUUAAAGUCAUGGGGUAGCAAUAUAAGAUUUAUUCAAAGGAGUGAUCAUUGAGUCCAACUUCUCUACUAAUGCUGGUUCCCCACAGCAGAUCACAUAUGAAAUCAUUCAGAUGGGUCUUGAAUAUCUCCAGAGAAGGAGACUCCACAACCUCUGAGCAACCUGUUCCAGUGCUCUGUUACCCUCACAGUAAAGAAGAUAUUCCUUGUGUUCUUAUGAAACUUCUCGUGUUCCAGGUUGCUCCCAUUGCCCCUUGUUCUGUCACUGUACACCGCUGCAAAGAGCCUAGACCCAUUCACUUGACUGUUGCACUUGUAUUUAUAAACAGUGAUACAAUCUCUUCUCAGCCUUUUCCAGGCUGACCAGUCCCAGAUCUCUCAGCCUUUUCUCAUAAGAGAGAUACCCCAAGCCCCUAACCAUUUUUGCAGUACUAUCCCUUGAUCCCUGAUCCUCAUUUUAUCCUCUGUCUUUCAGAUCUGCAUGGGCUGAAGAUUAACUGAAGCUACUUACACCAGAAUUAGCAUUACUUUGAUUUCAUCCUCAGAGAAGAGAGUACUUUCAGUUUACAUAUGCUAACAGACUACCAAAUCUUACUGAUAUUCAAGGCUUUCCCCUAAAACCACAUUUCCUUCUGAUGAACAAAAAGUACAGAACAGUCAGUUGAUUCAUAUUUAUAAUCAGGCCCUGUUUAGGUGUCAUGGUUUUGUGAUUUUUGGUUUUCUGUGUUCUACAUCAUAACACCAUGUAGUUCACUGGGAGAUAAAGUGCUAAUGCUCUAAUUCUGGA